AUUUAAAUAGUUUAAUAAAAAUAAUGAUUUGUGGUAUCAUAGUUGUACGUAUGUAUUUUAAAUA
RNAcentral lists this transfer RNA (64 nucleotides) under Epuraea guttata. Its description in RNAcentral is "tRNA-His". Lineage: Eukaryota; Metazoa; Arthropoda; Insecta; Coleoptera; Nitidulidae. The record is from RNAcentral.